GACGAACGCUGGCGGCGUGCCUAAUACAUGCAAGUUGAGCGCUGAAGGUUGGUACUUGUCCCAACUGGAUGAGCAGCGAACGGGUGAGUAACGCGUGGGGAAUCUGCCUUUGAGCGGGGGACAACAUUUGGAAACGAAUGCUAAUACCGCAUAAAAACUUUAAACACAAGUUUUAAGUUUGAAAGAUGCAAUUGCAUCACUCAAAGAUGAUCCCGCGUUGUAUUAGCUAGUUGGUGAGGUAAAGGCUCACCAAGGCGAUGAUACAUAGCCGACCUGAGAGGGUGGACGGGCACAAUGGGAAUGGGACACCGCCCAAACUUCUAAGGGGGGGAGCAAGAAGGGAACCUCGGGCAAGGGAGGAAAGCCGACCGGAGCAAGCCGGGGGGGGUAAGGAGGGUUUCCGGUCGGAAAAAUCUGGUUGUAGGGGAGGAAGUUGGGGGGAGUGGAAAGGUCAUCAAGUGACGGUAACUAACCAGAAAGGGACGGCUAACUACGUG
RNAcentral lists this ribosomal RNA (497 nucleotides) under uncultured bacterium. RNAcentral's name for it is "partial 16S ribosomal RNA". It matches the Rfam family "Bacterial small subunit ribosomal RNA", at positions 28 to 507 of the family's 1533-position model. The record is from RNAcentral.